GACGAACGCUGGCGGCGUGCCUAAUACAUGCAAGUAGAACGCACAGUUUAUACCGUAGCUUGCUACACCAUAGACUGUGAGUUGCGAACGGGUGAGUAACGCGUAGGUAACCUGCCUGGUAGCGGGGGAUAACUAUUGGAAACGAUAGCUAAUACCGCAUAAUAUUGAUUAUUGCAUGAUAAUUGAUUGAAAGAUGCUAUUGCAUCACUACCAGAUGGACCUGCGUUGUAUUAGCUAGUAGGUGAGGUAACGGCUCACCUAGGCGACGAUACAUAGCCGACCUGAGAGGGUGAUCGGCCACACUGGGACUGAGACACGGCCCAGACUCCUACGGGAGGCAGCAGCAGGGAAUCUUCGGCAAUGGACGAAAGUCUGACCGAGCAACGCCGCGUGAGUGAAGAAGGUUUUCGGAUCGUAAAGCUCUGUUGUAAGAGAAGAACGGGUGUGAGAGUGGAAAGUUCACACUGUGACGGUAUCUUACCAGAAAGGGACGGCUAACUACGUG
RNAcentral lists this ribosomal RNA (505 nucleotides) under uncultured bacterium. Its description in RNAcentral is "partial 16S ribosomal RNA". It matches the Rfam family "Bacterial small subunit ribosomal RNA", at positions 28 to 507 of the family's 1533-position model. The record is from RNAcentral.